RNAcentral lists this ribosomal RNA (253 nucleotides) under uncultured bacterium. Its description in RNAcentral is "partial 16S ribosomal RNA". It matches the Rfam family "Bacterial small subunit ribosomal RNA", at positions 524 to 776 of the family's 1533-position model. The record is from RNAcentral.
UACAGAGGUCCCGAGCGUUGUUCGGAUUCAUUGGGCGUAAAGGGUGCGUAGGUGGCGCCGUAAGUGGGGUGUGAAAUCCCGGGGCUUAACCCCGGGACUGCAUUCCAUACUGCGGUGCUUGAGGACUGGAGAGGAGACUGGAAUUUACGGUGUAGCGGUGAAAUGCGCAGAUAUCGGGAGGAACACCGGUGGCGAAGGCGGUUCUCUGGGCCUGUGCUGACGCUGAGGAGCGAAAGCGUGGGGAGCGAACAGG